RNAcentral lists this ribosomal RNA (393 nucleotides) under uncultured bacterium. RNAcentral's name for it is "partial 16S ribosomal RNA". It matches the Rfam family "Bacterial small subunit ribosomal RNA", at positions 523 to 918 of the family's 1533-position model. The record is from RNAcentral.
AUACGGAGGACGCGAGCGUUAUCCGGAUUCAUUGGGUUUAAAGGGUGCGCAGGCGGCCGUGCAAGUCAGCGGUGAAAGCCCGGGGCUCAACCCCGGAAGUGCCGUUGAUACUGCAUGGCUGGAAUGCGGUCGAGGCGGGCGGGAAGGGGCGUGUCGCGGGGGAAUGCGUAGAUAUGCCGCAGAACACCGAUGGCGGAGGUAGCUCGCCGGGCCUGCAUGGACGCACGGGCCCGAGAGCGUGGGGCAAGAACAGGAUUAGAUCCCCUGGUAGUCCACGCCGUAAACGAUGGGCGCUCGUCGUAGGCGGUAGACAGUCGGCGGCCAAGCGAAAGCGAUAAGCGCCCCACCUGGGGAGAACGGUCGCAAGGCUGAAACUCAAAGGAAUUGACGGGG